RNAcentral lists this unclassified non-coding RNA (5178 nucleotides) under Thrips palmi. RNAcentral's name for it is "dopamine D2-like receptor, transcript variant X1". Lineage: Eukaryota; Metazoa; Arthropoda; Insecta; Thysanoptera; Thripidae. The record is from RNAcentral.
GCUCAUGGACCCCGGCGGCGGCGCGGUGGUGGUGGGCGGCACCCAGGACGUGGUGCGCUCCUACCUGAACCUGAGCGGCGAGGACCCCUACUCGGACUGGGGCGCCGGCAACGGCUCGCUCAACGACACUCUGUGCCCGGGCGUCAACGGCACCCUGGUGCCCUGCCACACCAUCAUCAAGCAGUACUGGGCCCUCAUGCUGCUCGCCUUCCCCGUGCUCACGCUGUUCGGCAACGUGCUGGUCAUCCUGGCCGUGCUGCGCGAGCGCUCGCUGCAGAACGCCACCAACUACUUCAUCGUGAGCCUCGCCCUGGCCGACCUGCUCGUGGCCGUGGUCGUCAUGCCCUUCGCCAUCUAUUUCCUGGUGAACGGGACGUGGAGUCUUCCAGGAUUCGUCUGUGACUUCUAUAUAGCCAUGGACGUCACGUGUAGCACUUCUUCCAUUUUCAAUUUGGUCGCCAUUAGUAUAGACAGAUAUAUUGCUGUGACGCAGCCAAUCAAAUAUGCCAAGCACAAGAACAACAGACGUGUGUGGUGCACCAUCGUGGUGGUGUGGCUGGUGUCUUGCGCCAUCGGCACGCCCAUCGUGCUGGGCCUCAACAACACGCCCGAUCGGAGUCCGGAUCUCUGCAUUUUCUACAACACAGACUUUGUUAUUUAUUCAUCACUUUCAUCGUUUUACAUUCCCUGUAUGAUCAUGAUCGUCCUGUACUUCAACAUCUACAAGGCGCUGUCGAACCGCGCCAGGAAGGCCAAGGCGGCGCGCAAGCCCAACGCGUCGGACUGCCGGACGGACACCGUCCUGGAGAACCUGGCGCAGACGCGGCGGCUGGCGGAGACGGCACUAGGCACGUCGUCGCUGGCCGCGCCCACGAGCUCGGGGCUGGAGGAGGAGCGGCCGACGAACACGGGAAGCGGCAGCCAGGACGAGGACGACGACGACAUAAAGGACAACGAUCGCUCGUUUGACAUUGAAGACUGCCACGUGAUUCCUAAUGAUAAGUCAACUGAGUUCAUCCUAGCCACUGUCGUCGAGGACGCCUCGAAAGCGCAGCGGAGAGGAAGCGGCUCAGAAAAGAUGAUCGGGGUGGUGGUGGCCACGCUCACCCCCACGCCGAUGGCCGACCCCAACGGGAACAACGACUCCGGCUACGUGGCGUCGCACGUGGAGGAGACGACCAUCGUGUCCGGGUCCGCGCCCGGCAGCCCCAAGAUGCUCAAAGCGCCCGCCCCGCAGGGGAAGCGCAACGGGGCGGCCGCGCUGAAGCGGGUGCUGUCGGGCAGCCUGCGCAAGGGCGGGCCCGACCCGCCGUCCACCAGCAGCACCAAGUGCAGCACCAAGGACAGCAAGGACAACAAGGAGUCGCGCUUCACCAUCUACUCCAAGCACAAGGCGUCGCGGAAGAAGCGGGACAAGUCAGCGGCCAGGAAGGAGCGCAAGGCCACCAAGACGCUCGCCAUCGUGCUGGGCGUGUUCCUGGUGUGCUGGGUGCCCUUCUUCACCUGCAACAUCCUGGACGCGACCUGCACCAAGCUGGAGAUGAACUGCCAGCCCGGCGUGGCCGCCUUCAUCCUCACCACGUGGCUGGGCUACAUGAACAGCUUCGUGAACCCCGUCAUCUACACCAUCUUCAACCCCGAGUUCCGGAAGGCGUUCAAGAAGCUCAUGUCGCUGGACUCGUAGGGAGAGCUUUGGGCGUACGGCACCUCCAGCGCUGUCGAGCCGAGUGUGGCCACUCAGCGCUGAACCCCCACGACCCGUUCGCAGCGUCCUCUGCGACCCGCAUGCUGCGCGGUGGGCGCUGCAGGGACGUCAGUGCGCCAAACACAUCGCUGUGGAAAUGGAGCUCAGUUGGAGAAGUUGGCAACCCUGCGCGGCGGAGAGCGCUCUGCCUGGAGCCGCUAGAGCGCGCUAGAGCGGUGCGCACUCCCGACUCCAGGCAGCCUCCAGCGCUCCGCUUCUCCUGAGGCGUCUUCCUCCAGCAGCGGGCCUCGGUCGUAUCCCCUCCCCCUCCCCUCUUCCCUUCCGCGGUCUGCCGAUCGCAUCCCAGAACCCUUUCCCCAAUAACAUAUCUCCCCCUAUCUCCCUCCCCGCCGUACGUCCAAAGCCACCGGGUGGCUUGCUAUGCAGCGACGCUCCUCGCGCUGCUCAGUGGGGGCGGCCGGAGGGACUCGGGGACUGGAGCCGGCCGCCCCAAGAAGGAGAAGAAAACGCUUAUUAUCAAGUAUGUGCCAAUUACUAGGACUUUGGUGAAGAGCCGCGGAUGGCUCUCUGUUCCCGGGUGGAAGGAUCUGUAGUGAAACUCCAGUUUAAACUGUAGUGCCAAAACUACAGUUCCUGAACUGCAGUUUUUGGUAAGAACAAAGUGCAGAAUAAGUCCAGUUUCAGUUUGCUUAUGGAUCUGUAGUUUGCUGUGUAUGCAAACUGCUUUCUAGCUGAACUGUUAUUUGUUGACCAGGUAUAAAAUACUAUCUGCAGUUACAAAGUGAAGUUAAAAGUUUUUAAAGUCUACUCUACUUUAAUAGUCCACUACUGAAGAUUCGCCUACACUUCUAUCUGCAGCAGGAUCUACAAAGGAAAUAAAGUUUCUGCUCAUACUUUUUUACACAAUGACAAACUAGUUGAAUGUUUACUACAAUUUGUAGUAAUUUUUUGCUUAAGGCAUAGUUUAAGAUGUCAAGCACUACAACUUGAUAUGAAGAAACAAAAACAAUUACAUUGAGUGAUUAAAAUAAUAUAAGGAUUGAAAAGGAAAUAUAUCUUAGAAGUUUCAGUUAUUUCUUUUAAACGUUUACGUUGAAAUACUUGACGUUGGAGACUUUUAGAAGACACGACUAAACUUUCAUAUGAAAACCUAUAUGGCUGGAUGUAACCAAUUCUUAAAAUACUAUCUGGUUAUCUGUUUGCUUAUUUUAUAAUGUUCCAUAUUGGUCAGGUAGCAUGUGACAAAGUAUUGCGGAAAUCAACAAGCCACAAAAUUUAGCCAGCUUGUCGCCAAACAAGGUCUAGCUAAGUGGCAUCAAAUUCAUUAUGACUGGAUGAUAAAAUGUCAAACACAAAUAAAACUAGAAAGCAUUAUAAUGCAAUGCGUCUCAGAAGUUGAAAAGGUAACGACUCCAGUCGUUGAAAAUUAAGACCUUGAAGGCUCUCUGAAUUAAAUCACUCCAUUGUGUCUUGGUUUCUGAGGCAGAUUCAUUAUAAAUUACAUUUUGGACAAGUGGAUUUCACUCAAAGUACAGAGUGGCUUACAGUAAAACUGUAGUUUUCUAGCAGUUCAACUCUAGUUCCUGAGGAAAGCCGGCCUUUCCAUGUGGUCGAGAAGCCAAGCCCCUAUCCACAAGGAAGCUCAGUGGUGCAGUGGUCAAGGCCUCUGCCUCACAAGCCAUGGGUCCGAGGUUCAACUCCCGGCAACAUCCAAUCAAAACACACAAUUAAUACAAAGUCAAUCAUCUCAGGGGUCAGAGGGAGGAAAAGUCCCCUCAAAACAGGGUUCAAAAAUUAAAAAUUUUGAAUUUUGAACCAAAUUUUAAAACUGCAGAUUGUUUUCUCUUUUGAACUAACUCUGGCUGUGUAACUAAACUACAGUAAAACUGUACUUUGAACUAUAGUCAACUGAUCUGAAGACUAGGGCAACCUGGGUGAAAAACUAUAGUUGUCCGAAAUAACUGGUACUUUUUUUGCAGUUUAAUUGUAGUUUACUACACUUCAACUGUAGUUGAACUACACUUUACCUGCAAUUAUAAAAUACAUUACAGUAAUUUAAAGUAUGAAAAAAAUUAUUUAAAAAUUAAGUUUAACAUUACAAAAAAUCUAUAUUUUUCCAAUAUAGUUUAAACUGCAGAUCCUUCCACCCGGGUUUCGAAUAAGUUUAGACCAGGUGGGCCGGCAGUGGUGUUCCUCAUAGUGCGAGGUACGCGCCGGGCCCACGUUUCGAUUGGAUCAAAGGAUGGAUUGAGACCAAACCGUCUCUGUGUACAUAGUUAACGUUUAGUCGCCGCCCAAGGAGAAGUGUAUAUACGAGUUCUAGGUUGUGUCACGUUUCUACCAUGUUUAUACUUGAUUUCUCUCAUUUUUCGAGUUGUCUCGAACAGUGUUUGCACAAAAUGUACAUAGAUUCACAUGUAAAUACCUGUAUUUUGUUUUCGUUGAGCUCUUGUAUUCCCGAUUGUACGUAUCAUUGUUCUGUAUAGUGAGUUAAAGUCUGUGUAAAUAUUUAUAAUAUGUUGCUCCUGUGCACAUUUUGAAAAUAUGUAGUCAUAAUGUUAAACCUACGUGCUGUGUAAGUCUAUUUUCAGGGCAAACUUCGUUUUCUACAAGACUGUCCCUUUCUUGCAGUUUUAUCUUGCCUUGGUCCGCCCGCCCCUGAGUUGCUAGGCUCACCUCAAGGGUCGGCCUCCUCUACCCAUUCCUAGGUCAUUAAGCGAAAAGGUGCUGGCUACGUGACGAGCACUUGCGAAGGACGGAUAAAAGAAUUAUUUAAAAAAAACCUUAGAUGAGAAUUACGAGUAUAUUUUCUAUAUAUAUUUGAGUCAAAAGAGCGGUGAGCAGUAUUAACGCGUUACGUUUUGUGAUGUACAUAAGUGUUCCCGCCUUGCCUUUCCCGCCGGCAGGGGCCGCGCCUUCGCAGUGACGCAGUGAGGGUGGUUUUCCGGGAAAAAAAGAGAAAAAAAAACUAACCCGGUGGCGAGAGCACGCGGCGAGCGCGGCCAGCUCCACUGAAAACAUAGAAACAGGGUAACCCACCGUCAGCGCGCGGGGCUGCGCGGCCCCUGCCGAGGCACCGUUAAAAUGCCGCGGCAGUGUCAAAUGCCAAAGCAGUGCCAAGGCAGUGCCAAGGCAGUGCCAAGGCAGUGCCUCCCCCGCCCCGCCCCAGCAAGGUGGCCGCCGCCGCGGACCGACACCUGCCCGGGCCGGGUGACCCGCCUCGCCCCGCCGGUCACCCUCCCGCGCCGGUCCUGAGCCCCAAGUCCGCGGUGGCAGCGCAGCUUGAAACCCCUCCCCUCCCCCUCCCCUCCUCUGUUUUCUCGCCUCCCUCCCCUCGGGCGGCUGUGCCGUCCGGGGAGCAGGGUUAGAAAGCCUUAUUGCAAGUUGUUUAUGGUGAUAUCUGUUAAUAAAAAGUAAUUGUAAGCAGAGAGUACAAAGAGAUAUCAAAAGGUUCUUAAUUAAUAAAAAAUAUC